Molecule: ribosomal RNA, 159 nt
Filed under: Stegodyphus mimosarum
Lineage: Eukaryota; Metazoa; Arthropoda; Arachnida; Araneae; Eresidae
Description: eukaryotic small subunit ribosomal RNA
Source: RNAcentral
UGAUAUGAUCCAAACAGAAAGUAAAUUCCAUUUGCCAGUGAUGUGGCUCUUAUGUAUUGAGAGGGACAGAUGGGGCAUUCAUAUUGCGGUGCUGGGGCGAAAUUGUUGGACUGUUACAAAAUGAAUACUGUGAAAGCAUUUGGCAAGAAUGUUUCCAUU